This 404-nucleotide ribosomal RNA is filed under the name uncultured bacterium. RNAcentral's name for it is "bacterial SSU rRNA". It matches the Rfam family "Bacterial small subunit ribosomal RNA", at positions 29 to 417 of the family's 1533-position model. The record is from RNAcentral.
AACGAACGCUGGCGGCGUACUUAACACAUGCAAGUCGGACGAGAAAGGAGACUUCGGUCUCUGAGUAAAGUGGCGCACGGGUGCGUAACACGUAAGUAAUCUACCCCGAACUCUGGGAUAACGCUCCGAAAGGAGGGCUAAGACCGGAUAGGGUCCCCGAGGUGUAGGCUGCGGGGGGAAAACGGGCCUCUGUUUCAUGCUCGUGGUUUGGGAUGAGCUUGCGGCCCAUUAGCUUGUUGGUAGGGUAAUGGCCUACCAAGGCGACGAUGGGUAGCUGGUCUGAGAGGAUGAUCAGCCACACUGGCACUGAGACACGGGCCAGACUCCUACGGGAGCAGCAGUGGGGAAUUUUGCGCAAUGGGCGAAAGCCUGACGCAGUAACGCCGCGUGGAGGAUGAAGGCCU